RNAcentral lists this ribosomal RNA (1230 nucleotides) under Triticum aestivum (bread wheat). RNAcentral's name for it is "partial small subunit ribosomal RNA". The record is from RNAcentral. Lineage: Eukaryota; Viridiplantae; Streptophyta; Magnoliopsida; Poales; Poaceae.
AUGAAGAAGUUGAGUGGAAGGCUGGUGCUGACGGCGCAGCCGCAGCUGGAGAAGAAGGCGCCCGCGCGGGCGAGGCCGCCGCUGACGGGGAAGGUCGUGGCCGCGCUCUGCGUGGCCAGCUUCGCCGUCGGCCUGCUGCUCAGCGGCUGGAUGCCGCUCCUGUCGGCGCCGAUCAGCUCCCGGGUGAACAAGACUUCUGCUCCCGGCUGCGACGACAACCGCGUAAGCAAGGGGUUAGCCGGGGAGAGGCAUGACCCCAAGGGCAUCAUAAGCGAGGUGUCCAGGACGCACCACGCUAUCCAGUCGCUGGACAAGGCGGUGUCUUCUCUCGAGAUGGAGCUAGCCGUGGAGCGAGCUCGGAGCGGCGACGCCGGCGCCGGCGCGGCGGGCUCGUCCAAGGACCUUCAGAAGGCCUUCGUCGUGAUCGGCAUCAACACGGCCUUCAGCAGCAAGAAGCGCCGCGACUCCCUCCGCGAGACCUGGGUGCCCUCAGGGGAGAAGCUGAGGAGGCUGGAGAAGGAGAAGGGGAUCGUGGUCCGGUUCGUCAUCGGCCGGAGCGGGACGGCGGAGGGCGGCGGGGCGGCGGACCGCGCCCUGGACGCGGAGGAGGCGGAGAACAAGGACUUCCUGCGGCUGGACCACGUGGAGGGCUACCACGAGCUGUCCUCCAAGACCAGGAUCUACUUCGCCACCGCCGUCGCCACCUGGGACGCCGACUUCUACGUCAAGGUCGACGACGACGUCCACCUCAACCUCGGGAUGCUGGCAACUAGGCUGGCCAAGUACAGGGCGCGGCCCAGGGUGUACGUCGGCUGCAUGAAGUCCGGGCCUGUCCUGUCACAAAGAGGAGUGAAGUACCACGAGCCGGAGUACUGGAAGUUCGGGGACGUCGGGAACAAAUACUUCCGGCACGCCACCGGCCAGAUCUACGCCGUCUCCAAGGACCUCGCCGCCUACAUCUCCGUCAACCAGCCGAUCCUGCACAGGUUCGCGAACGAGGACGUCUCCGUGGGCGCGUGGCUGAUCGGGCUGGAGGUGGAGCACGUCGAUGACCGGAGCAUGUGCUGCGCCACGCCUCCAGACUGCGAGUGGAAGAAGAGGGCCGGGAACGUGUGCGUGGCGUCCUUCGACUGGUCCUGCAGCGGGGUCUGCAGGUCCGUGGACAGGAUGAAGCUCAUCCACGACGCCUGCGGCGAAGACCAGGCGGCGGUCUGGGGCGUCGCCACCUGA